RNAcentral lists this ribosomal RNA (484 nucleotides) under uncultured bacterium. Its description in RNAcentral is "partial 16S ribosomal RNA". It matches the Rfam family "Bacterial small subunit ribosomal RNA", at positions 30 to 507 of the family's 1533-position model. The record is from RNAcentral.
AUUGAACGCUGGCGGCAGGCCUAACACAUGCCAGUCGAGCGGAUGAAGGGAGCUUGCUCCUGGAUUCAGCGGCGGACGGGUGAGUAAUGCCUAGGAAUCUGCCUGGUAGUGGGGGAUAACGUCCGGAAACGGGCGCUAAUACCGCAUACGUCCUGAGGGAGAAAGUGGGGGAUCUUCGGACCUCACGCUAUCAGAUGAGCCUAGGUCGGAUUAGCUAGUUGGUGGGGUAAAGGCCUACCAAGGCGACGAUCCGUAACUGGUCUGAGAGGGUGAUCAGUCACACUGGAACUGAGACACGGUCCAGACUCCUACGGGAGGCAGCAGUGGGGAAUAUUGGACAAUGGGCGAAAGCCUGAUCCAGCCAUGCCGCGUGUGUGAAGAAGGUCUUCGGAUUGUAAAGCACUUUAAGUUGGGAGGAAGGGCAGUAAGUUAAUACCUUGCUGUUUUGACGUUACCAACAGAAUAAGCACCGGCUAACUUCGUG